This 250-nucleotide ribosomal RNA is filed under the name uncultured bacterium. Its description in RNAcentral is "partial 16S ribosomal RNA". It matches the Rfam family "Bacterial small subunit ribosomal RNA", at positions 524 to 773 of the family's 1533-position model. The record is from RNAcentral.
UACAGAGACUGCAAGCGUUAUUCGGAUUCACUGGGCGUAAAGGGUGCGCAGGCGGCCGGGUGUGUCAGAUGUGAAAUCCCGAGGCUCAACCUCGGAACUGCGUCUGAAACUACUCGGCUAGAGUACUGGAGAGGGUAACGGAAUUCACGGUGUAGCAGUGAAAUGCGUAGAUAUCGUGAGGAACACCAGAGGCGAAAACAAUUACCUGGACAAUUACUAACGCUCAGGCACGAAAGCAUGGGGAGCAAAA